Molecule: long non-coding RNA, 389 nt
Filed under: Hordeum vulgare
Lineage: Eukaryota; Viridiplantae; Streptophyta; Magnoliopsida; Poales; Poaceae
Description: long non-coding RNA (HVUL_LNC014086)
Source: RNAcentral
CGCGGCCAUCGUGCGGAGCCUGGGCGGGCCGGCGCUCCCGCGCGCAGGCCGACCUUCACCCAGGAGCCCAUACGCAGCGAGUCGCGUUGCAACUGGCUGAUGAACGUCAGAUCUAGCGACCAACUGAGUGCCACUGUGCACCGGUCCUGCUGCUCCAUCACCUGGCAAGGAGGCGAUCAUUCCUUCUCCGAGCUCCGCGAGCUGCAAUGGUAGCUCCUCUGCCCCCUCCUCGCUCGAUCGUGUUGCGUCAUUAAGAGUGGAGCGGUUUGAUUUCAAGAAACUAUAAGGGGUUGCUUGUAAAUAUGCGCAAAAAAAGGUUCGGUAUGCCUUACAAAAGAAGUGCGGGUUAAUUACUUGAAAAGACAGGUACUUUUCUGCAAAAGAGCCAC